AUGUACCCAAUUGCAUGGGCUACUGUUGAAGUUGAGAGUUAUGAUAGUUGGUACUGGUUUUUGUCAUUUCUGCAGAAGGACAUUCACAUAAAAAAUCAUGGUGAUGGCUGGGCUUUCAUUUCUGACCAGCAGAAGGGGCUCAUCAGAGUAGUAAAUGAAAUCUGUCCACAAGCAGAGCAUAGAAUGUGUGCUAGACACAUCUAUGCAAACUGGAGAAAGCAAUAUAGGGAGAAGAUAUAUCAAAAAAAAUUCUGGGCGUGUGCAAAAGCUUCAGACAGAAUAGGAUUCAACUAUCAUAGAGCCAAGCUAGCUCAAAAAACUAUAGAGGGGGCAAAAGACAUUAUGAAAACCAAUCCUGAACAUUGGAGCAGAGCUUUUUUCAAACUUGGCUCAUAUUGUGAUUAUGUGGAAAACAAUAUGUGCGAGUCCUUCAACAACUCCAUCAUGAGAGCAAGGUUUUAUCCUGUGAUUACUAUUCAUAAGAUCAUAAGAAAGAAAGUCAUGGUUAGAAUUCAAGAAAAUAGGGCAAAGCCUGAAAAGUGGAGUGGUUCAAUAUGCCCUAAUAUUUUUAAAAAGUUGCAGCUCAACAUAAAGAGAUCAGGAAGAUGCAAUGUGCUAUGGAAUAGCAAGGAAGAUUUGAAGUGCAGGAGGGUGAGUACAAAAGGUUUACAGUUAACCUGA
Molecule: ribosomal RNA, 681 nt
Filed under: Triticum aestivum (bread wheat)
Lineage: Eukaryota; Viridiplantae; Streptophyta; Magnoliopsida; Poales; Poaceae
Description: partial small subunit ribosomal RNA
Source: RNAcentral